CCUGGAUGUAAAUACAAAACGAGAGGAGGAUCCGGUUCCCAGGGGUGUACCCCUAGAGCGCCCUCUCAGCUCACCGGAGAAGACAAAGGGAUUUCUGCUGGCCGGAGCGAUGGAGCAAAGUGACAGAAGACCAGCCUCAGGAGAAGAAGAAGACGAGAGCACCCAAGAGACGAGGGAGUCCUGCAGCAGCCAACUGUCCAGUCUAGAGAUGGACUGCUCGGAGACAUACGGCGAUCAAACAGAAGGAUCCAACAACCAGGAGAUGAAGAGCGCCUCCAACAGCCUGGAGAUGAAGAGCGCCUCC
Bufo bufo (common toad) is the source of this 304-nucleotide long non-coding RNA. RefSeq lists it as uncharacterized. The transcript is spliced from 4 exons. Lineage: Eukaryota; Metazoa; Chordata; Amphibia; Anura; Bufonidae. The record is from RefSeq and is a predicted model, not a curated record.